GUACUUUUCUUUGAUUCACACAGAGACUUGUGUGCAGCAUUGUGAAAACAUGAAGAUUGCACUUCUUGCUUUUCUGCUGUUGCUCGCUGUCAGCACUGGUGAAGGCCUGAGGUGCUACUGCAGUGGCAACGCUAGCUGCUCAGGGCGAGAGCAGACCUGUGGCUACAAUCGUGAUUACUGCGGCAGUUUUGUUCUGGGCGGUAAAUUCGUCAGACGUUGCAUGAAAGGGGGUGAGUGCCAAAUUUUGGACGCACGCUGCUGCACGACUGAUCUCUGCAACAGCUAAAGAGGAUG
Long non-coding RNA from Myripristis murdjan (pinecone soldierfish), 294 nucleotides. RefSeq lists it as uncharacterized. The record is from RefSeq and is a predicted model, not a curated record. NCBI's taxonomy places the organism in Eukaryota, Metazoa, Chordata, Actinopteri, Holocentriformes, Holocentridae. The transcript is spliced from 3 exons.